AAAAUAAUCCGGACACCAGAAUUCUC
Molecule: non-coding RNA, 26 nt
Filed under: Cricetulus griseus (Chinese hamster)
Lineage: Eukaryota; Metazoa; Chordata; Mammalia; Rodentia; Cricetidae
Source: RNAcentral